UUUGAGCUUGAUCUUGAAUCUAUGUUUGUUGCCACGAACGAUGAUCUUGUUCUUGAGCUUGAUCUUGAUUGCUUGGACUUGAACUUGAUUUGGUCUUCUUUCUUGAGCUUGAACUUGCUUUGUUCUUCGUUCUUGAGCUUGAACUUAAUUUCUUGAAAUUGAACUUGAAGCUCGAAACUUGUGGAGGAAUUUGCAGUAUUUGAUCCACAAGCUCUU
Molecule: long non-coding RNA, 216 nt
Filed under: Nicotiana benthamiana
Lineage: Eukaryota; Viridiplantae; Streptophyta; Magnoliopsida; Solanales; Solanaceae
Description: long non-coding RNA (NBEN_LNC027963)
Source: RNAcentral